Long non-coding RNA from Fundulus heteroclitus (mummichog), 325 nucleotides. RefSeq lists it as uncharacterized. Lineage: Eukaryota; Metazoa; Chordata; Actinopteri; Cyprinodontiformes; Fundulidae. The transcript has 2 exons. The record is from RefSeq and is a predicted model, not a curated record.
GAGUUUUUAAUUUAAAGGAAGUGUGCUGGAUGGCGGAUGAUGAAGACCGGAGGUUCAGGGCUGCAAAAGGUCAGGGAUGUAGGUGAUGCCCGUAGCCACAGCAGGUUAGCAGUUUGUUUGCAGACACCAGGACACAGAGCUGAGCUUCUCCAGGGCGGCUAGUCAGGUUAGCAGAACUUAGGAGACACCAGAGCACAGAGCAGUGCCUCUUCAGGAUGGCUAGUCCAGUUAGCAGUUCUCUGGAGACACCAGGACACAGAGCAGAACUUCUCCAGGCACAAACAGCAAAGUAUGAGUCAAUAGAAACUGGCAGGACUAACCUUAA